CAUAUUUUUCUUUUAUUUCCUUUAUGGAAAUCUAAUCUUCCCCCUUUUUCCUGUGUUUCUUUUAUAGCCUUCAUAGGUUUCCUUCAAGAAGAGAAAUACAGCACAGUGCCUGGUCCAGUGGCUUGAUUUGAUGUUUCUACCUGGAACAUGUGGUGUGUUCUCAGUGCCUGUGUCUGAGUCAUAUCAUUGAUCUUUCAUUUAUUUUCUCUGAUCCUCACCAUCUAUCUCCAUCAAGAGCAAAGGAGGAAAGAUCAAAGAAGGUUAAUAUUAGCGUGCAUGCUAUGUGCUAAUCGAAAUUAAGUUGCUUUCACAAACCUUUUCCCCCUGAUCCAUUGCACAAAUGCCUUAACAUAAAGCUAGACAUCUGUCGAGUAUGGAUGUCCUCUGAAAUGGGUGAUACAUGAUUAAAAAACCGUUCAGGUUGCUUCUUUGAAAGAAGCAG
Molecule: long non-coding RNA, 442 nt
Filed under: Phascolarctos cinereus (koala)
Lineage: Eukaryota; Metazoa; Chordata; Mammalia; Diprotodontia; Phascolarctidae
Description: lncRNA (ENSPCIG00000000371.2)
Source: RNAcentral